Molecule: long non-coding RNA, 1541 nt
Organism: Macadamia integrifolia
Lineage: Eukaryota; Viridiplantae; Streptophyta; Magnoliopsida; Proteales; Proteaceae
Exons: 2
Source: RefSeq, a predicted model, not a curated record
UUUAACAAAAUUGCUGGUUUAGAAGGAUUUAGGGUUUGUUUUGAAUUAAUAAAUUAAAUACACAUCUCUGGCCGAUAUUCAUGGAGAAUGGAUAGUUUACUUACUCUGAGGCCAAUCCAUUUGGGUUUUGAAAGCGCUGUGAAAUUCUGAAACUGUGAUGUGGGUGACCCAACACAUCAUAACCAAAAACCAACCACUUCAGUUAUUGAACCUGAUAAGAUUCAAAGUGAUAAAGAUGCCUAUGACACAUCAUCAAAUGACAUGGCUCCUGGGACCCAUCCAACGGCAUCAGCACAAUACUCCCAAAGGCUGAGAAACGCCCAUCAAUUUGACAUGAUCUUAUGUAGGGGAUCAUAUCACGUGAAGUUUGUGAAUUCUGUUAGGGAAGAUCACGUUUUUUGAUAAUUGAUUAGUUAGUGGCUAUAUUAUGUGGAGAAGAAAAGUGUAUGGUAUAUGAAAUGAAUAUAAUUUUUUCUAUUCUCAUCUCUUUUUCUUAGGAGGUAGCUAUCCUUGAAAUAGCCGGUUUUGUUCCUCAUCCCUGUCCUUGAACCUCCAGCCCUGAAGAAAAACGAAGAAAGGGUUUUCUUCUCCAGCUUCCGGCCUCCGGGAUCUGAAUAAUGCCAGAAACUAUGCUUCCAUUGCUAAAAUCCCUUUCUUGUGAUGGCGAUGGCGAUGGGAAAGACAGCGGCGAAAACGAGGAAACAACAGAAGGAGCUGAAUAAUCAUCAAAAAGCAAACUCUAUCAUGGUGCUUGUGAAUUAUGAUGUCGUGACUUGUGAGCUCUAUAUUAGCAACAGCUGAUGAUGACACCACCACUUACCUGUGCCACCCUGCACCCUGGUUGGAUCUCUAUGCGCCUCUCUUGGUUGGUUUGGUCCUUGUGUCAUCACAGUGAUCAUGCAAUCAGGCAGUGAUCUUAACCUUUUUGAAAAUAUAUGGUUAAAGAAGGAUUAUAAUAAGAGUGAAUCUCGUGAGGGUUUUAGCGUGGCCAUUGAGGUGGCACAUUCGGAUAUGAAGGAUAACGAGGCUGAUGACUGGAUCGAAAAUUUGUUGUUUGCUGAAGAUGUGAAGUUGAAGAAGAAAAAAUAAAGGAUAAAAAGAAGUAGCCUUCUCCCUUUCACCUGCUUCCUCUCCUUGAUCAAGGUGAAUCUCGUGAGUUUUGUGAUCCCAACAUUGAUGAGAUCGAAUCUUUAGAUCAACCGAUUGAUGUUGGGGUUGCAAACGUAAAUGAUAGCCCCAUUAUAUCUAAGGAAAUUUUGAAGUCUUUUGAAGGAAAAUCAUUUGUUUUAUAUUACAGAGUGGCACACAACCUCCUUUGUUUGUUUCUCAAGAGGAAGAUCUAGAGUUGAAGUAUUCUGAGGAGGCAAUUCAACAUGUUGAAAAUCUAGAGGAAGCAUCUGUAUUGAAGUAAAAAGAUGAGGAACUCCAUUGGGAAAACACUCAAACCACUGCUUUAUGCAGGGAAAGGAGUCAUUGCAUUAGAUUUGCCCCUUAGUUUCUUUGCUCAUCCGAUUGGAAAAUCUAAAGAACAUAGUAUGAAA